This 253-nucleotide ribosomal RNA is filed under the name uncultured bacterium. RNAcentral's name for it is "partial 16S ribosomal RNA". It matches the Rfam family "Bacterial small subunit ribosomal RNA", at positions 524 to 776 of the family's 1533-position model. The record is from RNAcentral.
GACGGAGGUGGCAAACGUUGCUCGGAAUUACUGGGCUUAAAGGGCGUGUAGGCGGUCGAUUAAGUCGGGUGUGAAAAACCUCGGCCCAACCGAGGAAUUGCACUCGAUACUGACCGGCUAGAGUGCGAGAGGGGCAAGUGGAACUCCAGGUGUAGCGGUGAAAUGCGUAGAUAUCUGGAGGAACGCCGGUGGCGAAAGCGACUUGCUAGCUCGUAACUGACGCUGAGGCGCGAAAGCCAGGGGAGCAAACGGG